CAGUAGCCACGGGAAUACGUAGGGGGCAAGCGUUAUCCGGAAUAACUGGGCGUAAAGGGUGCGCAGGUGGUUUAACAAGUUAGUGGUGAAAGGCAUAGGCUCAACCAAUGUAAGCCAUUAAAACUGUUUAACUUGAGUGCAGGAGAGGAAAGUGGAAUUCCUAGUGUAGCGGUGAAGUGCGUAGAUAUUAGGAGGAAUACCAGUGGCGAAGGCGACUUUCUGGACUGCAACUGACACUGAGGCACGAAAGCGUGGGGAGCAAACAGGAUUAGAUACCCGAGUAGUCCCUGUCUCUUAUACA
This 301-nucleotide ribosomal RNA is filed under the name uncultured bacterium. RNAcentral's name for it is "partial 16S ribosomal RNA". It matches the Rfam family "Bacterial small subunit ribosomal RNA", at positions 509 to 808 of the family's 1533-position model. The record is from RNAcentral.